UACAGAGGGUGCAAGCGUUAAUCGGAAUUACUGGGCGUAAAGGGCGCGUAGGCGGCCGAGCAAGUUAGAUGUGAAAGUCCUGGGCUUAACCUGGGGACUGCAUUUGAUACUGCUUGGCUUGAAUUCGGGAGAGGAUAGCGGAAUUCCCAGUGUAGAGGUGAAAUUCGUAGAUAUUGGGAAGAACACCGGUGGCGAAGGCGGCUAUCUGGACCGACAUUGACGCUGAGGCGCGAAAGCGUGGGGAGCAAACAGG
Molecule: ribosomal RNA, 253 nt
Filed under: uncultured bacterium
Lineage: Bacteria
Description: partial 16S ribosomal RNA
Rfam family: Bacterial small subunit ribosomal RNA
Source: RNAcentral